RNAcentral lists this ribosomal RNA (315 nucleotides) under uncultured bacterium. Its description in RNAcentral is "bacterial SSU rRNA". It matches the Rfam family "Bacterial small subunit ribosomal RNA", at positions 28 to 341 of the family's 1533-position model. The record is from RNAcentral.
GACGAACGCUGGCGGCGUGCUUAACACAUGCAAGUCGAGCGGUAAGGCCCUUUCGGGGGUACGACGAGCGGCGAACGGGUGAGUAACACGUGGGUGGACCUGCCCUCAGCUCUGGGAUAAGCCUGGGAAACCGGGUACUAAUACCGGAUAUGACUCCAUGACGCAUGUUGUGGGGUGGAAAGCCUUGUGCGGCUGAGGAUGGGCCCGCGGCCUAUCAGCUUGUUGGUGGGGUGAUGGCCUACCAAGGCGACGACGGGUAGCCGGCCUGAGAGGGCGACCGGCCACACUGGGACUGAGACACGGCCCAGACUCCUA